UGUGACAUACCUAUAACGUUGCCUCGGCGGGAACAGACGGCCCCGUAACACGGGCCGCCCCCGCCAGAGGACCCCCUAACUCUGUUUCUAUAAUGUUUCUUCUGAGUAAACAAGCAAAUAAAUUAAAACUUUCAACAACGGAUCUCUUGGCUCUGGCAUCGAUGAAGAACGCAGCGAAAUGCGAUAAGUAAUGUGAAUUGCAGAAUUCAGUGAAUCAUCGAAUCUUUGAACGCACAUUGCGCCCGCCAGUAUUCUGGCGGGCAUGCCUGUUCGAGCGUCAUUACAACCCUCAGGCCCCCGGGCCUGGCGUUGGGGAUCGGCGGAAGCCCCCUGCGGGCACAACGCCGUCCCCCAAAUACAGUGGCGGUCCCGCCGCAGCUUCCAUUGCGUAGUAGCUAACACCUCGCAACUGGAGAGCGGCGCGGCCACGCCGUAAAACACCCAACUUCUGAAUGUUGACCUCGAAUCAGGUAGGAAUACCCGCUGAACUUAAGCAUAUCAAA
Molecule: ribosomal RNA, 503 nt
Filed under: Fusarium solani
Lineage: Eukaryota; Fungi; Ascomycota; Sordariomycetes; Hypocreales; Nectriaceae
Description: eukaryotic LSU rRNA
Rfam family: 5.8S ribosomal RNA (bases 127-280)
Source: RNAcentral